CGCACCACCGCACAUGAACCACGGCUGCACUUCGACGAUUGAUCACGAAACUUGUGGAUGAGGCUUGGACUCCAUUUGUUCUCUAAUUUUAUAGGUAACAAGUUGCUGCAACAAAAACCAUGAUAAUAUGGAGAUAGGCAAGGUGAGGCGCGGACUAGGUCGCUCUCUUAAGACGAAUUUCACGACCCCUUCUCUAAUGAGGUGCAAAAAGGUUCCGAUCGUGUCGCCUAUGGGAUACAACAGCCCAGCCUAUCUCUCCGCUGUAACUUCACCGAAAUUGCACGUUCAAGUGAAGCAGAAGCUUACACCCGACACACAACAAGAGCUCAAUAUAUGUAUAUAAUAUAUGAUCCUUUUGAAAGACAUUUUUCUUUCACUCUUUAUGUUCUCUCCUCUAUUUUUUCAAGCCACAAAGCCACCCUUUUAUAGUGUAAAAUAAGGUCAUCAUAAAACCUAUAUUUAAUAUAGAAUUAGGGAAAUUUAUGGAGGUUUUAUGAGGUAAAUAAAGUGCUUGU
This is a non-coding RNA of Erythranthe guttata (spotted monkey flower), 515 nucleotides long. The record is from RefSeq and is a predicted model, not a curated record. Lineage: Eukaryota; Viridiplantae; Streptophyta; Magnoliopsida; Lamiales; Phrymaceae.